GGUUAAGCGACUAAGCGUACACGGUGGAUGCCCUGGCAGUCAGAGGCGAUGAAGGGCGUGCUAAUCUGCGAUAAGCGCCGGUAAGGUGAUAUGAACCGUUAUAACCGGCGAUACCCGAAUGGGGAAACCCAGUGUGACUCGUCACACUAUCAUUAACUGAAUCCAUAGGUUAAUGAGGCGAACCGGGGGAACUGAAACAUCUAAGUACCCCGAGGAAAAGAAAUCAACCGAGAUUCCCCCAGUAGCGGCGAGCGAACGGGGAGGAGCCCAGAGCCUGAAUCAGCAUGUGUGUUAGUGGAAGCGUCUGGAAAGGCGCGCGAUACAGGGUGACAGCCCCGUACACAAAAGCGCAUGUGCUGUGAGCUCGAUGAGUAGGGCGGGACACGUGGUAUCCUGUCUGAAUAUGGGGGGACCAUCCUCCAAGGCUAAAUACUCCUGACUGACCGAUAGUGAACCAGUACCGUGAGGGAAAGGCGAAAAGAACCCCGGCGAGGGGAGUGAAAAAGAACCUGAAACCGUGUACGUACAAGCAGUGGGAGCACAGGUUUACCUGUGUGACUGCGUACCUUUUGUAUAAUGGGUCAGCGACUUAUAUUCUGUAGCAAGGUUAACCGUAUAGGGGAGCCGUAGGGAAACCGAGUCUUAACCGGGCGUUAAGUUGCAGGGUAUAGACCCGAAACCCGGUGAUCUAGCCAUGGGCAGGUUGAAGGUUGGGUAACACUAACUGGAGGACCGAACCGACUAAUGUUGAAAAAUUAGCGGAUGACCUGUGGCUGGGGGUGAAAGGCCAAUCAAACCGGGAGAUAGCUGGUUCUCCCCGAAAGCUAUUUAGGUAGCGCCUCGUGAAUUCAUCUCCGGGGGUAGAGCACUGUUUCGGCUAGGGGGCCAUCCCGGCUUACCAACCCGAUGCAAACUGCGAAUACCGGAGAAUGUUAUCACGGGAGACACACGGCGGGUGCUAACGUCCGUCGUGAAGAGGGAAACAACCCAGACCGCCAGCUAAGGUCCCAAAGUCAUGGUUAAGUGGGAAACGAUGUGGGAAGGCCCAGACAGCCAGGAUGUUGGCUUAGAAGCAGCCAUCAUUUAAAGAAAGCGUAAUAGCUCACUGGUCGAGUCGGCCUGCGCGGAAGAUGUAACGGGGCUAAACCAUGCACCGAAGCUGCGGCAGCGACACUCAGGCGUUGUUGGGUAGGGGAGCGUUCUGUAAGCCUGUGAAGGUGGCCUGUGAGGGUUGCUGGAGGUAUCAGAAGUGCGAAUGCUGACAUAAGUAACGAUAAAGCGGGUGAAAAGCCCGCUCGCCGGAAGACCAAGGGUUCCUGUCCAACGUUAAUCGGGGCAGGGUGAGUCGACCCCUAAGGCGAGGCCGAAAGGCGUAGUCGAUGGGAAACGGGUUAAUAUUCCCGUACUUGGUGUUACUGCGAAGGGGGGACGGAGAAGGCUAUGUUGGCCGGGCGACGGUUGUCCCGGUUUAAGCGUGUAGGUGUGUGUUCCAGGUAAAUCCGGUUCACUUUAACACUGAGGCGUGAUGACGAGGCACUACGGUGCUGAAGCAACAAAUGCCCUGCUUCCAGGAAAAGCCUCUAAGCAUCAGGUAACAUCAAAUCGUACCCCAAACCGACACAGGUGGUCAGGUAGAGAAUACCAAGGCGCUUGAGAGAACUCGGGUGAAGGAACUAGGCAAAAUGGUGCCGUAACUUCGGGAGAAGGCACGCUGACACGUAGGUGAAGUGAUUUACUCAUGGAGCUGAAGUCAGUCGAAGAUACCAGCUGGCUGCAACUGUUUAUUAAAAACACAGCACUGUGCAAACACGAAAGUGGACGUAUACGGUGUGACGCCUGCCCGGUGCCGGAAGGUUAAUUGAUGGGGUCAGCGCAAGCGAAGCUCCUGAUCGAAGCCCCGGUAAACGGCGGCCGUAACUAUAACGGUCCUAAGGUAGCGAAAUUCCUUGUCGGGUAAGUUCCGACCUGCACGAAUGGCGUAAUGAUGGCCAGGCUGUCUCCACCCGAGACUCAGUGAAAUUGAACUCGCUGUGAAGAUGCAGUGUACCCGCGGCAAGACGGAAAGACCCCGUGAACCUUUACUAUAGCUUGACACUGAACAUUGAGCCUUGAUGUGUAGGAUAGGUGGGAGGCUUUGAAGUGUGGACGCCAGUCUGCAUGGAGCCGACCUUGAAAUACCACCCUUUAAUGUUUGAUGUUCUAACGUGGACCCGUAAUCCGGGUUGCGGACAGUGUCUGGUGGGUAGUUUGACUGGGGCGGUCUCCUCCUAAAGAGUAACGGAGGAGCACGAAGGUUGGCUAAUCCUGGUCGGACAUCAGGAGGUUAGUGCAAUGGCAUAAGCCAGCUUGACUGCGAGCGUGACGGCGCGAGCAGGUGCGAAAGCAGGUCAUAGUGAUCCGGUGGUUCUGAAUGGAAGGGCCAUCGCUCAACGGAUAAAAGGUACUCCGGGGAUAACAGGCUGAUACCGCCCAAGAGUUCAUAUCGACGGCGGUGUUUGGCACCUCGAUGUCGGCUCAUCACAUCCUGGGGCUGAAGUAGGUCCCAAGGGUAUGGCUGUUCGCCAUUUAAAGUGGUACGCGAGCUGGGUUUAGAACGUCGUGAGACAGUUCGGUCCCUAUCUGCCGUGGGCGCUGGAGAACUGAGGGGGGCUGCUCCUAGUACGAGAGGACCGGAGUGGACGCAUCACUGGUGUUCGGGUUGUCAUGCCAAUGGCACUGCCCGGUAGCUAAAUGCGGAAGAGAUAAGUGCUGAAAGCAUCUAAGCACGAAACUUGCCCCGAGAUGAGUUCUCCCUGAGACUUAAAGUCUCCUGAAGGAACGUUGAAGACGACGACGUUGAUAGGCCGGGUGUGUAAGCGCAGCGAUGCGUUGAGCUAACCGGUACUAAUGAACCGUGAGGCUUAACCUU
This 2908-nucleotide ribosomal RNA is filed under the name Salmonella enterica subsp. enterica serovar Goldcoast. RNAcentral's name for it is "23S ribosomal RNA". It matches the Rfam family "Bacterial large subunit ribosomal RNA". Lineage: Bacteria; Pseudomonadati; Pseudomonadota; Gammaproteobacteria; Enterobacterales; Enterobacteriaceae. The record is from RNAcentral.